GGGAGCCUGCCCCCUCCCCGGACACUUCCACCUUCGUCCUGGGCGCGCCCCCGUUCGCUAUGGGGAGGGCUCGGAUCCGCACGUGGCCGCGGUGGGGGUGCGGAAGCAGCCAGCUCCGCCCCCAGGCCACGUGCGCGACCCUUCCCCCGCUUCCCGGUCCUGGAGCCGGGCUUUGACCACGCUACCGGUUUUCUCUCUCGCACUUCUCCGAAGUCCUCCAUUCCGUGUUCCCAGCGCCCGGAGGCCCUCCCACUGCCUGGGCACCAGGUGUCGAACGUGGCAGAGUCCGCGAGGGUGGGGAGCCCGGCCGACCCUCCGUAUGUUAGUUCCUGUUUCGCGCUGGGUUCCGGAGUUACGCGUGCACGGCCCACUGGGACUGGGGAGGACCACAGUAGGGAGAGGAAAGGAGAAGGCGGGCAAGGCCGCAAAGGGCAGGCCGGGGUCAAGUUGCCACAGCGAGGAAGCCAGCCCUUUUUGGGAUACAGGGGUCCCUGGCGUCGCUUCCUGGCCUUAGGCUGGGAACCCAGCGACUGGGUGCGGAAAACAGGUCAGCUGAUGGAGGCCCCUGGAAAUUCCCAAGGACGUCCAGGCCAAGUUGUUAAGUAGCAGCGAGGACGCUGGGGAUGCAAAUGACUAUGGUCCCCCAAACGCCCAGGCCCUGGGCGCGUGGUUGAGUCGGCCAGUAGGCUCCCGCCCCUUCCUAACUCCCGCUGGUCGGUGAAGGCCGUGCAGUAGCCGCUGGGGCCUCCAGGAGGUAGUAGCGGCCUCCUGGAGCCACUUCCACUGCUGGCAGGUCUCAGUAACCCCACAGAUCAGAGAUGCUGCCCUUAGGCAAGGAGUGGAUCGCGACCCUGGCCCCAUGCUCGAUCUCCGUGUCCAUCCCCUUCCACCUGCCCCCAGCUAACCCACCUGGCCUGACUGAGCCUCUCUUGCCUCUGGCUGGCCACUUCCCCUGAGUCUCCUUAGCUCCCUGCUUCCCACAUUUGGUGAUCCCCGCUAGUAUCCCCCAGCUGAGCCCUCUGGGGACCCCAGUGGUGGGUGCUGCUGUGGCUGGACGGAGGAAGGUAGGGAGAAAGAUCGACUUGGGAGGGUACAGUCUCCCUCCCUUGGAUACCUGCUCCUCUUCACCAGACUAGGGCUCUGAAGCCAUGUCUUUGAAGCAUCCUGUGUCUUUGAAGGUGGAGCAGGUGGACCACCUGGGCAGGCCUUCAGCCCCUCUCAUCUCAGUAGCUCCCAUCUGCUGUGACUAGGACAGUGUGCCUGGUGGGUUUUUCCCCAGAGCACCAGGCCAGACACCUCUGCAGAAAACAGGAGGAAGCAGCUGUGACUCUUCAUUCCUUCCACUGAGGUUUACUGGGUCCAGAGGCGGGCAAAGUGGCUCACAGUCCCUGGCAAGGCAGCAAGGCUGUGUUCCAGAGGUGGCCCCACCUGCAGCUUGAAGGCACACUUGAGGGCUGUACUGCUGAGACUUGAAGACCUUCAGGUGUGUGCAGCAGUGACAGUGUGAGGGGCAGCCACAGGGAAGGGGAGAGACCACGGAGUCACUGCUGCUGCACAGGCAGGAGGGCUGAGCCGAGGCAAGGUGGGUCCCUGUCUGGGUAUCCUGCCUCAGGAAUCUGCUGCUUCCAUCCAUCACCAGGAUCGAAGCCUGUGACCAUGCCAGCCACUCUGCAGAGAAAAGUCAAAGCUGGAGCACCAAGACCUGGAGCUGAGGGUUCUGGAAAAAUACCAAGCUGACAACAGCUCAGCACACAGCUGAGUGUCCACCCUGCUUCUGCAGACCUCACUUCCUGCCGCUAAAUGGGGUGGCCCCAGGGGGCUCAGGGACUGGUCUCAGCAGCCCCUCAGAGCACAGCUCAACCAGCAGGCAGCAGCCAGACCCUUCAUCUCAGUCUGAUCAUCAGAAAACGGACAAACCCAGGUCAGGGAACUUCACACAACACCUGGUCGGUCAGUCCUCCUCAAGAUGGUCGAGGAGGAUCUCCAGGGCCUCAAAAACCAUGCCAGAUGUUAAGGCCGAGGAGAUGUGAAGCUGUGCGGUGUGGGAUCCUCCACACUUCCGGCUGAGGAUGAAAAGGACAGGACGUGGAGGGAAGAGCCCGAAACCAGGAGGCAGGCUGGGUGAUGGGCCUCUGCACUACCUCCCCAACUUCUCUGAACUCAAGUUCCACCAAAACAAAAGCAAAAAUAAAGCAAAGCACUGUGCGCAAGCGUGGGGCAGGUCACAUCAGCAGCUCACCGCAGCACUUGUGGAGCUCUUGAGUUUUUAGUACUGGGGUUUGACCUCGGGUGCUUCGCCAACUGAGCCACAUCCCCAGUCCUUUUUCUUUUUUACCACGUGGUCUUGACAAGUUGCAGAGGAUCUCACUAAAUAGCUUAGCCAGGCCAGGAACUUUGGAUCCUCCUGCUUCAUACUCCUGAGUUGGUGGCAUGACAGGAGUGUUUCCUCUUUCUACCUUGGUACUGGGGAUUAAGCCCAGGCACGCGCCCACUGGGCUACAACCCCAGCCUUCUUUUUAUUUUUUGAGACAGGGUCUGAGUUGCUUAGG
Molecule: long non-coding RNA, 2549 nt
Organism: Sciurus carolinensis (gray squirrel)
Lineage: Eukaryota; Metazoa; Chordata; Mammalia; Rodentia; Sciuridae
Exons: 3
Source: RefSeq, a predicted model, not a curated record